Long non-coding RNA from Gorilla gorilla gorilla (western lowland gorilla), 2050 nucleotides. RefSeq lists it as uncharacterized. The record is from RefSeq and is a predicted model, not a curated record. Lineage: Eukaryota; Metazoa; Chordata; Mammalia; Primates; Hominidae. The transcript is spliced from 2 exons.
AACAAACAAAUAAUUCAGACCUUGGUCUGGCAAAGGAGGCAGCCACCAUCACUAGUGUUUGACAAAGACUCAGGCAGAGGCAGUCAGGGGGAGCAGAAAAGCUUCAUAGUGAAAUAAAAAGGGAUGGCCUCAGGUAUGUGUGUCUUGAUUGGAAGUUGUUGGCAUGGAGAGGCUAACUAGAAGCAGGACUUCUUAUGUGAUGGCUUUGAGGAAUAUAUCUUUUUCUCUGCUUGGUCCUGAGUUUGGAGCAAAAAUAGGGAAAUUGGCCGUCGCUGACCAACUCUGACCGUUCUGGGCCAAUUGCUGCAAAGGUUGUGGUUUGGCUUCCCCAGUGAUUGCUGCAGAAGUUGUUGGUGAGAGUUCUGUUGUCAUGUAUGCUUUGGCCAUUGUCUGUUUGUAUAUUGAGUCUCUUCCACCUGAAGGCCUAGGAUGAAAUAUGUAUUUCCCUGUAUCCUCCCUUGCAUUCUCAUUUUUACCACCACAAAACCAUAUCUCUUCUCUGAUUAGUGAAGUUGAGAAUCUCUUCAUAUAUUUUUCAGCCAUUUAGAAUUUGUCUUCUGUGAAUUGCUGAUUAAUAUCUUUUAUUUAUUUAUUUAUUUAUUUUGAGAUGGAGUCUUAUGCUGUUGCCCAGGCUGGAGUGCAGUGGCGCAACCUUGGCUCACCACAGCCUCCGCCUCCUGGCGGGUUCACACAAUUCUACUGCCUCAGCCUCCCUAGUAGCUGGGAUUACAGGUGCCAGCCACCAUGCCCAGCUGAUUUUUUUUGUUGUUGUUUUUUCUUUGAGACAGAGUCUGGCUCUGUUGCCCAGGCUGGAGUGUAGUGGCACGAUCUCGGCUCACUGCAACCUCCGCCUCCCGGGUUCAAGCGAUCCUCCUGCCUCAGCCCCCCUAGUAGCUGGGAUUACAGGCAUGUGCCACCAUGCCUGGAUAAUUUUUGUAUUUUUAGUAGGGACGGGGUUUCGCCAUGUUGGCCAGGCUGGUCUCAAACUCCUGACAUUAGAUGAUCUGCCUGCUUCGGCCUCCCAAAGUGCUGGGAUUACAGGCGUGAGCCACCGUGCGUGGCCCGAAAAUUUUUGUAUUUUUAGUAGAGAUGGGGUUUCUCCAUGUUGACCAGGCUGGUCUCAAACUCUUGACCUCAGGUGAUCCACCCGCCUCGGUCUCCCAACGUGCUGGAAUUAUAGGCAUGGGCCACCAUCAAUGUUCUUUCAUCAGUUUCAAAAACAAACAAACACCUCUUUUCUUUUUAUUGCUAGUUUGCAGAAGUUCCUCAUAUAUCUGGGUAGUAAUCCCAUUCUUUUUAAUUGUUUUUAUUUUAUUUUUCUUUUUUCUGAGACAAGUCUCGCUCUGUUGCCCAGGCUGGGAUGCAGUGGUGGGAUCUUGGUUCACUGCAGCCUCCGCCUCCUCGGUUCAAGCAAUUCUCCUGCCUCAGCCUCCUGAGUAGCUGGGAUUACAGGGACAGAGUUUCAAUCCAUCUCCCAGACUGGAGUACAGUGGCAUGAUCUCAGCUUACCGCAACCUCCGUCUCCUGGGUUCAAGCGACUCUCCUGCCUCAGCCUCCUGAGUAGCAGGGAAUUACAGCCUCGUGCCACUACUGCCCAGCUAAUUUUUGUAUUUUUAGUAGAGAUGGGGUUUCACCAUGUUGGCCAGGCUGGUCUUGAACUCCUGACCUCAAAUGAUCUGCCCGCCUCGGCCUCCCAAAGUGCUGGGAUUACAGGCAUGAGCCACCGUACCCAGCCUGUUUUUGUGAUUUUUUAACUAUUCCAGAUACCUCAUGUGAAUGGACGGAUACAGUAUUUGUCCUUGUGUGACUGGCUUAUUUCACUCAGUGUGACAUCCUCGAGGUUCAGCCAUGUUGUAGCAUGUGAAAGAAUCUUCUUUUAAAAAGGCUGCAUAAUAUUCCUUUGUAUGUUUAUACCACAUCUUCAUGUACUCACCUUUAGAUGGACGUUUUUGUGGUUUUCACCUCUUGGAUAUUUUGAAUAAUGCUGUAAUGAACAUGGAUGUGUAAAUAUCUUUUUGAAUUCUUGCCCCAAAAUGGAAUUGCUGGAUCA